CGAGUGCCUUGAUCCCUUGACAGAAU
This 26-nucleotide non-coding RNA is filed under the name Mus musculus (house mouse). The record is from RNAcentral. Lineage: Eukaryota; Metazoa; Chordata; Mammalia; Rodentia; Muridae.